Molecule: long non-coding RNA, 1791 nt
Filed under: Carica papaya (papaya)
Lineage: Eukaryota; Viridiplantae; Streptophyta; Magnoliopsida; Brassicales; Caricaceae
Description: long non-coding RNA (CPAP_LNC000353)
Source: RNAcentral
CAUAAAACUAAAGAGAAAAAUUCUAACUAAUGAAAGAUAAAAACAGUAAUAUAUGAGAGUGAUAAUUGGCAAAGAUGGAACCAGUGGAACUUGCAUACCAAAAGUGAGAUUGAAACAUUGACUGGCUCUAAUAAAUAACUAAGCUCGUUGCCUGAAAAACUUGAAUUGCACAAAAAGUCGGAGGCCCAAUGUUGAGUCAUGUUCCUUGAAUCAGCAACAACUUCAGAUAAGCUACAAUAAAUUGCCAAAGCUUCAAUGUUUACAUAUUUUUUUACUUGUCCACCCUUCAACUUCCCGCCAGAUGACCUAAACAUACCAAAAAAGCUAAUUUCAAAAUGGAAAAAGAGCAUUAAAUAGAAAAUAGAUAACAAUACAAGCAAAAAAAUCAUAGACCAACAAAAGAAAAAUAUAAGCAAAACAUUAACAAAAAACAUAUUGAUUAUCAAGGGGUAUUCGCCCAAAUGGAAUCCAAUAUUAAUGGUUUUCAAGAGUCAAAUAUUGAGACUUCUCUGAUAACUAGCACAUGGAUGUGGAAGUUUAAGGAUUUGGGUGACAAGAUUUACAAGGAUUUGGGUGAGUCAUGAGUGUUCGGUGUCUUGCAUCCUAAAAUUAAGAGCCUCAGGGUGGUUUGGGUUGAGUUCAGCAGUGAGCCAAUAUGGAAACUUAGCUUAACUACUAAUGUUAUUCAUAAGCCACUCAUCUUCACCCCUCAUUUCCCAAGAAGUUCUCCAUUGGAGAAUCUUAUUGAAGUUCUUCGUUGGAGAAGUUCAUAAGCCACCCCCCGUUGGAGAAGAAUUACUUGGAAGUUAAAUAUGUCCCCUAUAAUUACUUUUUUUCGGCUCAAGAGGGAACUACUAAGAUAAUUCUUACCACUAAUAAUCUAAGAAUGAGGUGAAAGAUUAUGGUAACUGGGUCUUCUUCACGAAAGAGGGAAGGGAAACCUUUUAUCACCUCCUUUCAUGACACCCCCUCUUCCCUUGCCUUUGGUGUUAGGUAUUAUGUGGCAAUCAAGUUCUAUUGUGAAUGAGAUUUUUGCUUGGCAGUGUGUUUGUGGUCAUUAGAGAAGGAGAAAUCUUAUUUUUCUUAUACCUUGGUUAUGUUGUAGGUUAUGUGGAAAGAAAGCAAAAUAGAAAUUUGCCUAACAUUUUGACUUCAUCUUUUGGUAAAGUUAGAGAUUUAUGGUAGUAAACCUUUUGUUUUUUGUUCAACAGCAGCCACCUUACUUCUUAUAAGGACUUAGUGGUUCUUGUAGACAUUUUAAUUAGUUUGGUCAAAUGUAUCUUUUUUUGCACUUGGGUGGCACUCUCUUGGUAGCUGUUGAUAGAAUUAUUCUUUGCUCAAAAAAUAAUACAAAAAAUAUAGAAUUCAAGUACAACAUUGGAGAGUUAACCUAAAAAAUUACCCAAACGGAUUUUGCUUUGUUAUUGUCAAGCUGGCAAACCUUAAACCGAAUAUAACCUGUCCCUGAAGAAACAAAGUUAAACAAUAAAAAACAAAAAAAAAAAAACGAUUCAGACAGUACCAUCUCGCAAAGAGAGCACUUGAUAAUGCAGACAGAAAAAAAAAAAUGGUGGUUAUAAAUCCUUGCAGACAAGAAAUAACUCUAUCCAUUAGCUGCCAUUUUUUCAAUAAUGUUUUAUUAAUUUAACAUAUUCUCAUGAGUCAAUUACUUUUAACAAAAAUAUUCUCAUGGUCAAGGCAUCGAAAUAAUAAAAGAAAAAAAAUAAGUAUAGGGAGAAAAGUUAUAUUGUUAUGUUUGUCAUUAUUCCUUUUUAUUUAUGAAGAACUUUA